Molecule: ribosomal RNA, 1342 nt
Filed under: uncultured bacterium
Lineage: Bacteria
Description: bacterial SSU rRNA
Rfam family: Bacterial small subunit ribosomal RNA
Source: RNAcentral
AGAGUUUGAUCCUGGCUCAGAACAUACGCUGGCGGCACGCCUAACACAUGCAAGUCGAACGAAGUAGCAAUACUUAGUGGCAGACGGGUGAGUAACAUGUGGGUAUCUGCCCUUUGGCCUGGAAUAACACGAGGAAACUUGUGCUAAUACCGGAUAAGUCUUUACGGAGAAAGCUUUAUGCACCAUUGGAUGAGCCCGCACUUGAUUAGUUUGUUGGUGGGGUAAUGGCCUACCAAGACUGUGAUCAAUAGCUGAUUUGAGAGGAUGAUCAGCCACAUUGGGACUGAGACACGGCCCAAACUCCUACGGGAGGCAGCAGUGGGGAAUCUUGCACAAUGGAGGAAACUCUGAUGCAGCGAUGCCGCGUGAGUGAAGAAGGCCCUUGGGUUGUAAAGCUCUUUCGUCGGGGAAGAAAAUGACUGUACCCGAAUAAGAAGGUCCGGCUAACUUCGUGCCAGCAGCCGCGGUAAUACGAAGGGACCUAGCGUAGUUCGGAAUUACUGGGCUUAAAGAGUUCGUAGGUGGUUGAAAAAGUUAGUGGUGAAAUCCCAGAGCUUAACUCUGGAACUGCCAUUAAAACUUUUCAGCUAGAGUAUGAUAGAGGAAAGCAGAAUUUCUAGUGUAGAGGUGAAAUUCGUAGAUAUUAGAAAGAAUACCAAUUGCGAAGGCAGCUUUCUGGAUCAUUACUGACACUGAGGAACGAAAGCAUGGGUAGCGAAGAGGAUUAGAUACCCUCGUAGUCCAUGCCGUAAACGAUGUGUGUUAGACGUUGGAAAUUUAUUUUCAGUGUCGCAGCGAAAGCGAUAAACACACCGCCUGGGGAGUACGACCGCAAGGUUAAAACUCAAAUGAAUUGACGGGGACCCGCACAAGUAGUGGAGCAUGUGGUUUAAUUCGAAGAUACGCGCAGAACCUUACCAACACUUGACAUGUUCGUCGCGACUCUAAGAGAUUAGAGUUUUCGGUUCGGCCGGACGAAACACAGGUGCUGCAUGGCUGUCGUCAGCUCGUGUCGUGAGAUGUUGGGUUAAGUCCCGCAACGAGCGCAACCCUCACUUUUAGUUGCCAUCAUUAAGUUGGGCACUCUGAAAGAACUGCCAGUGAUAAGCUGGAGGAAGGUGGGGAUGACGUCAAGUCCUCAUGGCCCUUACGUGUUGGGCUACACACGUGCUACAAUGGUAUCUACAACAGGAAGCAAGACUGCGAGGUCAAGCAAAUCCUUAAAAGAUACCUCAGUUCGGAUUGCACUCUGCAACUCGAGUGCAUGAAGCUGGAAUUACUAGUAAUCGUGGAUCAGCGUGCCACGGUGAAUGCGUUCCCGGGUCUUGUACACACCGCCCGU